UUCCGCCCGGGCGCAUUGUAGCCCCGCGGACAGCUGGGCCAGGGUGCGGGCCUGCGCCUCCCUCGGCUCCUGGCGCGGGCCUCGGGGAGAGGGGUGGAAAAUGUCUAUGGAUGUGACAUUUCUGGGGACGGGUGCGGCAUACCCAUCUCCAACCCGGGGUGCCUCUGCUGUGGUCCUUCGGUGUGAAGGCGAGUGCUGGCUCUUUGACUGUGGGGAGGGAACACAGACACAGCUUAUGAAAAGCCAACUUAAAGCAGAAUUCCCUCAUUUGGGUUUUCAGUCGUGGAAAAGAAACGCCCAGGUAAACUCAAUGCACAGAAACUUAAAGACCUUGGUUAUCCUGAAUACAUGUCUAACAAUUUUCCUUGCAACGUUAGCUGUUGUUUUUCACUGUUUCCAGAGGAUCAAAAUUGCUUCAGAGAUUGGAGACAUAAUUGAUUUAAAAGGAAAAACUUGAACAAAUGGACAAUAUGUCUAUUACCAAUACACCAACAAGUAAUGAUGCCUGUCUGAGCAUUGUGCAUAG
RNAcentral lists this small RNA (526 nucleotides) under Pongo abelii (Sumatran orangutan). RNAcentral's name for it is "processed transcript". Lineage: Eukaryota; Metazoa; Chordata; Mammalia; Primates; Hominidae. The record is from RNAcentral.